CUACGUAUUAUCAACAUUGCCCCCAUGCUGUCAGUGAAUUCCUCCUCUAGACACUGAAUUCAGAAAAACAAAGAAGGAAUACCAACCACAAUCCAUUUUGAUGCCUGGCUGCUGGAUCAUCAUGUAUAACUCAGGUAAGUGAUUUUCAUUCAGUCAAAUCACUUGAGAUAUCCUCAGUGUUUUCAUGUUUGGUAU
Molecule: long non-coding RNA, 195 nt
Filed under: Monodelphis domestica (gray short-tailed opossum)
Lineage: Eukaryota; Metazoa; Chordata; Mammalia; Didelphimorphia; Didelphidae
Description: lncRNA (ENSMODG00000033496.2)
Source: RNAcentral